UACGUAGGGGGCAAGCGUUGUCCGGAAUCAUUGGGCGUAAAGAGCGCGUAGGCGGCCCAGUAAGUCCGCUCUGAAAGUCAGGGGCUCAACCCCUGGAUGCGGGUGGAUACUGCUGGGCUAGAGUCCGGAAGAGGCGAGUGGAAUUCCUGGUGUAGCGGUGAAAUGCGCAGAUAUCGGGAAGAACACCCGUGGCGAAGGCGGCUCUCUGGGACGGUACUGACGCUGAGACGCGAAAGCGUGGGGAGCGAACAGG
Molecule: ribosomal RNA, 253 nt
Filed under: uncultured bacterium
Lineage: Bacteria
Description: partial 16S ribosomal RNA
Rfam family: Bacterial small subunit ribosomal RNA
Source: RNAcentral